This is a non-coding RNA of Acanthosepion pharaonis, 92 nucleotides long. The record is from the annotation of a GenBank genome assembly. NCBI's taxonomy places the organism in Eukaryota, Metazoa, Mollusca, Cephalopoda, Sepiida, Sepiidae.
GCCAGUUCCCGUACGAUCAGCGAAGUUAAGAAACGUCUAUCCUGGUCAGUACGUAGAUGGGUGACCGCUUGGUAAUACCAGGUGUUGCAAGC